CAGGUAACACCUGGGCGGCGCGAGCCGAUGGAAAGCGCCACAGAAAAUACACCGCCGAAGCUCGGCUGAUUUAUUUCAGGCGGGCUGGUAAGGGUGAAAUGGUGCGGUAAGAGCGCACCGCGCCGGUGGCGACACCAGGCGGCACGGCAAACCCCGCCCGGAGCAAGACCAAAUAGGGGAGCAAGCGGCUUUGCGCCGCACGUGCGGCCCGCACAGGCUCCCGGGUAGGUCGCUUGAGGUGCACGGCGACGUGCAUCCCAGAUGAAUGGUUGUCCUCGACAGAACCCGGCUUAUCGGCCGACUCCUUUU
This 309-nucleotide RNase P RNA is filed under the name Lysobacterales bacterium. RNAcentral's name for it is "Xanthomonadales bacterium partial RNase P RNA component class A". It matches the Rfam family "Bacterial RNase P class A", at positions 75 to 367 of the family's 367-position model. Rfam says of the family: Ribonuclease P (RNase P) is a ubiquitous endoribonuclease, found in archaea, bacteria and eukarya as well as chloroplasts and mitochondria. Its best characterised activity is the generation of mature 5'-ends of tRNAs by cleaving the 5'-leader elements of precursor-tRNAs. Lineage: Bacteria; Pseudomonadati; Pseudomonadota; Gammaproteobacteria; Lysobacterales. The record is from RNAcentral.